Molecule: transfer RNA, 74 nt
Filed under: Deltaproteobacteria bacterium
Lineage: Bacteria; Pseudomonadati; Myxococcota; Myxococcia
Also listed under: 3 other names
Description: tRNA-Arg
Rfam family: tRNA
About the family: Transfer RNA (tRNA) molecules are approximately 80 nucleotides in length. Their secondary structure includes four short double-helical elements and three loops (D, anti-codon, and T loops).
Source: RNAcentral
GCCCCCGUAGCUCAGGUGGAUAGAGCACCAGAUUCCUAAUCUGGGUGCCGCAAGUUCGAGUCUUGCCGGGGGCA